Molecule: ribosomal RNA, 253 nt
Filed under: uncultured bacterium
Lineage: Bacteria
Description: partial 16S ribosomal RNA
Rfam family: Bacterial small subunit ribosomal RNA
Source: RNAcentral
UACGGGGGGAGCAAGCGUUGUUCGGAAUCACUGGGCGUAAAGGGAGUCUAGGCGGUUUGGUAAGUGGGAUGUGAAAUCCCCGGGCUCACCCCGGGACCUGCAUCCCAAACUGCUGAGCUUGAGUACAGGAGAGGGUGGGGGAAUUCCAGGUGUAGCGGUGAAAUGCGUAGAUAUCUGGAGGGACACCGGUGGCGAAGGCGGCAUCCUGGACCGGCAUUGACGCUGAGGCGCGAAAGCUAGGGGAGCAAACGGG